GACGAACCGUGCGAGCGUUAUUCGGAAUCACUGGGCUUAAAGCGCGUGUAGGCGGGCGGGUACGUCGGCCACUGAAAGCCCCCGGCUCAACCGGGGAAGGGGUGCCGAAACGGCCGGCCUGGAGGGGCGUAGGGGGACCUGGAACUUCCGGUGGAGCGGUGAAAUGCGUUGAGAUCGGAAGGAACGCCCGUGGCGAAAGCGAGGUCCUGGACGUCAGCUGACGCUGAGACGCGAAAGCCAGGGGAGUGAACGGG
Molecule: ribosomal RNA, 254 nt
Filed under: uncultured bacterium
Lineage: Bacteria
Description: partial 16S ribosomal RNA
Rfam family: Bacterial small subunit ribosomal RNA
Source: RNAcentral